Phrynosoma platyrhinos (Desert horned lizard) is the source of this 69-nucleotide non-coding RNA. Lineage: Eukaryota; Metazoa; Chordata; Lepidosauria; Squamata; Phrynosomatidae. The record is from the annotation of a GenBank genome assembly.
GGUGUGAUGUAGUGGUUUGAAUGUUGGACUAUGACUCCAGAGACCAGGGUUCAAAUCCACACUCAACCA